This 471-nucleotide ribosomal RNA is filed under the name uncultured Sphingobacteriales bacterium. Its description in RNAcentral is "bacterial SSU rRNA". It matches the Rfam family "Bacterial small subunit ribosomal RNA", at positions 913 to 1382 of the family's 1533-position model. Lineage: Bacteria; Pseudomonadati; Bacteroidota; Sphingobacteriia; Sphingobacteriales. The record is from RNAcentral.
ACGGGGGCCCGGCACAAGCGGAGGAGGCAUGUGGUUUAAUUCGAUGAUACGCGAGGAACCUUACCUGGGCUCGAACGUAAGAUGACUGUAGGUGAAAGCUUACAUCUCUUCGGAGCAUUUUACGAGGUGCUGCAUGGUUGUCGUCAGCUCGUGCCGUGAGGUGUCGGGUUAAGUCCCAUAACGAGCGCAACCCCUACCUUUAGUUGCCAUCAGGUUAAGCUGGGGACUCUAAAGGAACUGCCUACGCAAGUAGUGAGGAAGGCGGGGAUGACGUCAAAUCAGCACGGCCCUUACGUCCAGGGCUACACACGUGCUACAAUGGCCGAUACAGAGGGCAGCUACCUGGUGACAGGAUGCAAAUCUCCAAAGUCGGUCUCAGUUCGGAUCGGAGUCUGCAACCCGACUCCGUGAAGUUGGAUUCGCUAGUAAUCGCGCAUCAGCCAUGGCGCGGUGAAUACGUUCCCGGGCCUU